UCGAGAACAACCUACAGAAGACGGAGAGCUACAUUUUUAGUGCUGUGUUUCGAUUUUGGAGUCGCCAAAUCGGAAAGAGCAACACUUAUUUGUCAAUAACGCAAUAUCACGUUGAAAUAAAUUGCGCGAGAGAAGGAAAUUAAGGUUCCGGGUCCUGCUUAAACGAAAAUCGGAAAGAGCAACACUUAUUUGUCAAUAACGCGAUAUCACGUUGAAAUAAAUUGCGCGAGAGAGGGAAAUUAAGGUUCCGGGUCCUGCUUAAACGAGCACCGCAAAAAAAAAGAAAAUGGGAAUAAGGUGUAUAUCACUGGUUAGAGGACAAUUUUUAGAAUACCGCUAGCUACAUUUUGAUUCAAGUGGGUUGCUAUCUGGGUUGUCCAUUGAUCGUUGAGAUACAGCUAUGGUCUGCAUUCCCUGCAUCGUCAUUCCCAUUCUCUUGUGGGUGUAUAAGAGGUUCCUUGAACCCAUCAUCUACCCCUUCAUGGGUCCAAUUAUAAGCCGAUUUUGGCCAACAAAAACCGCUGUCCAGGAGAGUGUCACAGGAACGGGUGAUAUGAAAGCAUGCAAGGUAAUACAUUACCCAAAACCUGUUAUUGGAUUAUGGACUCAGACAGUGUUCCACCACUAGUAGACUGCACCUGUAGCAACCUCCAGUGACCAAGGCUCAGACUGGCUAUGAAUGCUGAAGAAGGCAUCGCACACAUUGUAUACUGAACAAAAAUAUAAAAGCAACAUGUAGAGUGUUGGUGCCAUGUUUCAUGAUCUGAAAUAAAAGAUCCCAGAAAUGUUC
Oncorhynchus kisutch (coho salmon) is the source of this 790-nucleotide long non-coding RNA. RefSeq lists it as uncharacterized. Lineage: Eukaryota; Metazoa; Chordata; Actinopteri; Salmoniformes; Salmonidae. The transcript is spliced from 2 exons. The record is from RefSeq and is a predicted model, not a curated record.